This 279-nucleotide ribosomal RNA is filed under the name uncultured bacterium. RNAcentral describes it as "partial 16S ribosomal RNA". It matches the Rfam family "Bacterial small subunit ribosomal RNA", at positions 506 to 784 of the family's 1533-position model. The record is from RNAcentral.
UGCCAGCCGCCGCGGUAAUACGGAGGGUCCGAGCGUUAUCCGGAAUCAUUGGGUUUAAAGGGUCCGUAGGCGGGCCUGUAAGUCAGGGGUGAAAGUUUGUGGCUCAACCAUAAAAUUGCCUUUGAUACUGCAGGUCUUGAGUCAUGGUGGGGUUGCCGGAACAUGUGGUGUAGCGGUGAAAUGCAUAGAUAUCACAUAGAACACCGAUCGCGAAGGCAGGUGACCAACCAUGUACUGACGCUGAUGGACGAAAGCGUGGGUAGCGAACGGGAUUAGAUA